CGACCCCAGGUCAGUCGGGACCACCCGCUGAGUUUAAGCAUAUAAAUAAGCGGAGGAGAAGAAACUUACAAGGAUUCCCCUAGUAACGGCGAGCGAACCGGGACCAGCCCAGCUUGAGAAUCGGGUGGCUUCGUCACCUGAAUUGUAGUCUGGAGAGGCGUCCUCAGCGACGGACCGGGCCCAAGUUCCCUGGAAAGGGACGCCUGGGAGGGUGAGAGCCCCGUCCGGCCCGGACCCUGCCGCACCACGAGGCGCCGUCAACGAGUCGGGUUGUUUGGGAAUGCAGCCCAAAUCGGGCGGUAAACUCCGUCCAAGGCUAAAUACAGGCGAGAGACCGAUAGCGAACAAGUACCGCGAGGGAAAGAUGAAAAGGACUUUGAAAAGAGAGUCAAAGAGUGCUUGAAAUUGCCGGGAGGGAAGCGGAUGGGGGCUGGCGAUGCGCCCCGGUCGUAUGCGGAACGGCUUCUGCUGGUCCGCCGAUCGGCUCGGGGCGUGGACUGUUGUCGGCCGUGCCGGCGGCCUAAGCCCGGGGGCCCUAGGUGCCUCCGGUCGCCGUCGUCGGCACGGCCGGUCUCCGCGCGCCGCAAGGCGCGCCCCUCGGGGCGCUGCGCUGCAACGGCCUGCGAGCUCCCCAUCCGACCCGUCUUGAAACACGGACCAAGGAGUCUGACAUGCGUGCGAGUCGACGGGUUCUGAAACCCUGGGAUGCGCAAGGAAGCUGACGAGCGGGAGGCCUUCACGGGCUGCACCGCUGGCCGACCCUGAUCUUCUGUGAAGGG
RNAcentral lists this non-coding RNA (779 nucleotides) under Sorghum bicolor (sorghum). RNAcentral describes it as "Eukaryotic large subunit ribosomal RNA". It matches the Rfam family "Eukaryotic large subunit ribosomal RNA", at positions 1 to 788 of the family's 3401-position model. Lineage: Eukaryota; Viridiplantae; Streptophyta; Magnoliopsida; Poales; Poaceae. The record is from Rfam by way of RNAcentral.